CAGGACGUUGGAAAGCGGCAAUCCGCCGGCUUUGGGAGCCGGAUAGCGUGGGUUCGAAUCCCACCGUCCUGA
Molecule: transfer RNA, 72 nt
Filed under: Planctomycetaceae bacterium SCGC AG-212-F19
Lineage: Bacteria; Pseudomonadati; Planctomycetota; Planctomycetia; Planctomycetales; Planctomycetaceae
Rfam family: tRNA
About the family: Transfer RNA (tRNA) molecules are approximately 80 nucleotides in length.
Source: Rfam by way of RNAcentral